GUGGAUGUAGCUUGGUGGGUAGAAUGCUUGCCUUGUGUGCAUGAAAUCCUGGGUUCUAUCCCCAGCAUCAUA
Molecule: transfer RNA, 72 nt
Filed under: Mus musculus (house mouse)
Lineage: Eukaryota; Metazoa; Chordata; Mammalia; Rodentia; Muridae
Also listed under: 1 other name
Rfam family: tRNA
About the family: Transfer RNA (tRNA) molecules are approximately 80 nucleotides in length. Their secondary structure includes four short double-helical elements and three loops (D, anti-codon, and T loops). Further hydrogen bonds mediate the characteristic L-shaped molecular structure. tRNAs have two regions of fundamental functional importance: the anti-codon, which is responsible for specific mRNA codon recognition, and the 3' end, to which the tRNAs corresponding amino acid is attached (by aminoacyl-tRNA synthetases). tRNAs cope with the degeneracy of the genetic code in two manners: having more than one tRNA (with a specific anti-codon) for a particular amino acid; and 'wobble' base-pairing, i.e. permitting non-standard base-pairing at the 3rd anti-codon position.
Source: Rfam by way of RNAcentral